UGCGAAUGGCUCAUUAAAUCAGUUAUCGUUUAUUUGAUAGUACCUUACUACUUGGAUAMCCGUGGUAAUUCUAGAGCUAAUACAUGCUAAAAACCCCAACUUCGGGAGGGGUGUAUUUAUUAGAUAAAAAACCAAUGCCCUUCGGGGCUCUUUGGUGAUUCAUGAUAACUUCUCAGAUCGCAUGGCCUUGCGCCGGCGACGGUUCAUUCAAAUUUCUGCCCUAUCAACUUUCGAUGGUAAGGUAUUGGCUUACCAUGGUUUCAACGGGUAACGGGGAAUUAGGGUUCGAUUCCGGAGAGGGAGCCUGAGAAACGGCUACCACAUCCAAGGAAGGCAGCAGGCGCGCAAAUUACCCAAUCCCGACACGGGGAGGUAGUGACAAUAAAUACUGAUACAGGGCUCUUUUGGGUCUUGUAAUUGGAAUGAGUACAAUUUAAACCUCUUAACGAGGAACAAUUGGAGGGCAAGUCUGGUGCCAGCAGCCGCGGUAAUUCCAGCUCCAAUAGCGUAUAUUAAAGUUGUUGCAGUUAAAAAGCUCGUAGUUGAACCUUUGGCCUGGCUGGCAGGUCCGCCUCACCGCGUGCACUUGUCCGGCCGGGCCUUCUCUUCUGGAGAACCGCAUGCCCUUCACUGGGUGUGUUGGGGACCAGGACUUUUACUUUGAAAAAAUUAGAGUGUUCAAAGCAGGCCUUUGCUCGAAUACGUUAGCAUGGAAUAAUAGAAUAGGACGUGCGGUCCUAUUUUGUUGGUUUCUAGGACCGCCGUAAUGAUUAAUAGGGACAGUCGGGGGCAUCAGUAUUCAAUUGUCAGAGGUGAAAUUCUUGGAUUUAUUGAAGACUAACUACUGCGAAAGCAUUUGCCAAGGAUGUUUUCAUUAAUCAGUGAACGAAAGUUAGGGGAUCGAAGACGAUCAGAUACCGUCGUAGUCUUAACCAUAAACUAUGCCGACUAGGGAUCGGGCGGUGUUUUUAUUAUGACCCGCUCGGCACCUUACGAGAAAUCAAA
Molecule: ribosomal RNA, 1005 nt
Filed under: Pseudochaetosphaeronema siamense
Lineage: Eukaryota; Fungi; Ascomycota; Dothideomycetes; Pleosporales
Description: SSU rRNA
Rfam family: Eukaryotic small subunit ribosomal RNA
Source: RNAcentral